RNAcentral lists this unclassified non-coding RNA (413 nucleotides) under soil metagenome. RNAcentral describes it as "partial contains 5.8S ribosomal RNA, internal transcribed spacer 2, and large subunit ribosomal RNA". The stretch from base 1 to 120 matches the Rfam family "5.8S ribosomal RNA", at positions 35 to 154 of the family's 154-position model. The record is from RNAcentral.
GAUGAAGAACGUAGUGAAAUGCGAUAAGUAAUGUGAAUUGCAGAAUUCAGUGAAUCAUCGAAUCUUUGAACGCACCUUGCGCUCUUUGGUAUUCCGAAGAGCAUGCCUGUUUGAGUGUCAUGAAAAUAUCAACCUUGACUUGGGUUUUGUGCUCUAGUCUCGGCUUGGAAUUGGGUGCUUGCCGCUUUUACGAGCGGCUCACCUUAAAUGUAUUAGCUGGUUCUGUCUUUGAGACUUGGUUUGACUUGGCGUAAUAAGUAUUUCGCUAAGGACAUUCUUCGGAGUGGCCUCGUUUCUAGGACGCUUGUCCGCUUUCCAAUACAAGUUCCACCUCGUGGACAUGACUUUUUAUUAUCUGGCCUCAAAUCAGGUAGGACUACCCGCUGAACUUAAGCAUAUCAAUAAGCGGAGGA